UAAGCGGAGGAAAAGAAACUAACAAGGAUUCCCCUAGUAACUGCGAGUGAAGCGGGAAAAGCUCAAAUUUAAAAUCUGGUGGUCUUUGGCCAUNCGAGUUGUAAUUUAGAGAAGCGUCUUUCCGCGCUGGGCCGUGCACAAGUCUCCUGGAAUGGAGCGUCACAGAGGGUGAGAAUCCCGUCUUUGGCAUGGACACACCAGGGCUUUUGUGAUGCGCUCUCGAAGAGUCGAGUUGUUUGGGAAUGCAGCUCAAAAUGGGUGGUGAACUCCAUCUAAAGCUAAAUAUUGGCGAGAGACCGAUAGCGAACAAGUACCGUGAGGGAAAGAUGAAAAGCACUUUGGAAAGAGAGUGAAACAGUACGUGAAAUUGUUGAAAGGGAAACGCUUGAAGUCAGUCGCGUCGACCGAGACUCAGCCUUGCCUUGGCUUGGUGUACUUCUCGGCCGACGGGUCAGCAUCAAUUUUGCCCCUUGGAUAAUGAUGAGGGAAACGUGACACCUUUAUGGUGUGUUAUAGUCUCUUGUCGCAUGCAAGGGUCGGGAUUGAGGAACUCAGCACGCACCUUUGGGUGUCGGGGCUUUGCCCACGAUACGUGCUUAGGAUGUUGGCGUAAUGGCUUUAAACGACC
Molecule: ribosomal RNA, 628 nt
Filed under: uncultured Russulaceae
Lineage: Eukaryota; Fungi; Basidiomycota; Agaricomycetes; Russulales; Russulaceae
Description: LSU rRNA
Rfam family: Eukaryotic large subunit ribosomal RNA
Source: RNAcentral